Gallus gallus (chicken) is the source of this 982-nucleotide long non-coding RNA. The record is from Ensembl. Lineage: Eukaryota; Metazoa; Chordata; Aves; Galliformes; Phasianidae.
UUUUGACUCUUGCAGCUAAGUGCUGGCUGGAAUACUGGGGCCUAAUUCCAGAGCUGACGUAAAUAAGCUCACUCAAAGACAGUGAGACAACACCAAUUUACACAAAACAUAGUUCAAGCCUGGGAAAUUCAGAUGCAUGCAGAAGUUUAGAUAAGAUACAUCUAGGCAAAUAUUUGAGGGAACAGAGUGGCAAGGAUGUGAGAAAGCACAGAGAAGCUCUGAGUCCAUCUGAUUUGUUCGACACCCACAAAUGAACCCCCACAGUGCCCAGCAGAGGAGGCUCCUCGGCUAUCGUCAUCUCUGGAAGGAGAAGGACAGAGGCAAAGAGUAUCAUGAAACAAGAGAGUUGGAAUACCGUGCUUUUUUCUUGGAAAAAAGAAGAAAGAAAGAAAGAAACAACCACAAAGUCCAGCUGAGCAAUGUGCCAUCACAUCUACCCCCAUGCAGAAGCGCUCGGGCAGCAUUUGCGCUGGAAGCUUUGCAGCUGUGCAAGUCAAAUGAACAGGCACUACUUUGCCCUCAGAUCUGGUAGGCCCCAAGGUACAGAUAUGAGCAGUCAAAAUGUCCUACUUAGCAUCAUGAAGUGCCCACCCAUGCGCGAGGGAAAAGGAUGCAAUGUUUUGAAUGAAGCCAAACAUGGUUAUUACAUUUUGGGGGCCUGAGAGAGAAAGUCACAUUGGUCUGUUUACAGAUAAAUGAUUUGCAAUAUUUCACAUAUAUUUGUUAUCACACUCAGCACCAGUGCAAAGAUUCCUCACUCACCAGCCUCGAUAGCACCUAGAACAAGGCUGCAGCUGCUGAAAUGAAUCCCUUAGUCUUCACUUAUGCAAUAAUUUCACAUCAAUAGUGGUGGUACAAGGAGAAUAAUAAUCAUUUUUAUAGAGAAAAACAUAACCGAAAUAGUAAAAAAGACAACAAAAAAGAAGUAAAAUAAAAAUGAUCCAUCCUUUCUUCUUUUGGUCUCCUGUGUUUAUCCCCAGAC